UACGGAGGGUGCGAGCGUUGUCCGGAAUCAUUGGGCGUAAAGGGCGCGUAGGUGGCGGGACAAGCGUGCGGUGAAAGCCUGGGGCUCAACCCCGGGUCGGCCGUGCGAACUGUUUUGCUUGAGCACUGUAGAGGCAGGCGGAAUUCCGGGUGUAGCGGUGGAAUGCGUAGAGAUCCGGAAGAACACCGGUGGCGAAGGCGGCCUGCUGGGCAGUAGCUGACACUGAGGCGCGACAGCGUGGGGAUCGAACAGG
Molecule: ribosomal RNA, 253 nt
Filed under: uncultured bacterium
Lineage: Bacteria
Description: partial 16S ribosomal RNA
Rfam family: Bacterial small subunit ribosomal RNA
Source: RNAcentral